Molecule: transfer RNA, 67 nt
Filed under: Serratella sp. Yunnan-2018
Lineage: Eukaryota; Metazoa; Arthropoda; Insecta; Ephemeroptera; Ephemerellidae
Also listed under: 1 other name
Description: tRNA-Ile
Source: RNAcentral
AUUGCUUAAGUCGAAUGGCAGACAUUAGGAUGAUACCCUAAAGGAAGAGGAUGAACCUCAAGCAAUA